CACGGCGACGCGUCGUAUGGCGUUUCGCCCGCGAAACCGGCCGCAACAGUCACGAAUACGAAGGCGAGGCGAGGCGAGGCGAGGCGAGGCCGAGGAUCGCGGAUCUGCGUGUGUGUCGCCAACAACGCGUCGAUUUUUUUAGAUCGUUCGUGACUCGAUGCGGAGUCUUCAUCGAUCCGUCUCCCGCCGCUCGUUCGCCGUUUCUUCGAUGAGGAAAACCGACUGCGCGCUGUUUAUUCAACGGUUAUCUCUCGAUCGAUCUCGAGGGAUCGGUAGCUAAAACCGGAGGAUCGAACGAUGCGCGAGUAGCGACAUGGCGCGACUGUAUUACGAGUGCAGCGUCGAUUUCAGAAACAUCACCGAGGACACCGAGAUAAAACCGUACGCUUGCACCGCGGACAAGUAUUGCUUGUACUGUUGCUGCAACUCUCAGUGUUGCCUGCUGGUACAAAGACGGCCGCCACGACAUUUUUGGGAAGCCUGGUACUUCUGGCUAGGCGUUGCUUUGCUCGCUGUGUUUAUCGUGUCUUCGGUGAGCAGCUACAUAGUCAGUAAUUGCAGACAUAAUAUUCAAGGUGUACCACUAGCACACAACGCGCACGCCAACAGGCAAAGCGACCGCGGCGGUCGUCCAGGAAGCGAGCAGAACGAGAUAUCGAUAAGUAUAAUUCCGACGUCGGAGUUGUUCCCGUCCCACAGGAAAAUGUUCGUGGUCGCCUCUCAACCGGCCGUCAAUCAGCUCAGAUCGUUCAACGGAUUGUCGUCGCAGCGGAACGCGAUGGGAUCGAUCCAGCCCGAUUCGAGCCUGAUCGGUGGCCAGGAGUCGCCGGACCAGCUUCUCCAGAGUCGCGUGAAGCCGCUCCACUUCGCCGCGCUGUUGCUGGCGAUCGCCGCUCUGAUAUCGGUCCUGGCAGCCUGCUACGUUAUUACGAGGUUCCUCAAGGCGAAUCCGUACACGGCGGGCAGCGUGGAAUGACGAGGACUCCACCCUUCGAUGAUCCCUCGAGGCCGACGCGUUCACCGGCUGUCCACGUGGUCCCUCCAACCGAGCCGAACUGGCAGCGGGUCCGAGCGAACCAGUUUCUCAACAUCUUUCGUGUCGUUUAAACGAUUCGAUCAGUUGCUCGUACCUUGCCAGUUUAUAUACGGAACACGUCGCCAAUCGUUUCUCCUCGAAAGGUUGAAAUUGAAACCGGCUCGCAGCCGCCACUUCCCGGCUCAAUCGUAUGCCCGCGAUCGCGCUAACGAACCUAAAAUAUAAAUAGAAGCAGCCCGUGUAGGAGACGACUGCCGCCGACAGGCCGAACAGCUCCGUAUCGACGGGAUCUUUUCGUUCGCCGGCUCGUACCGACAACGAAAUACGAAGGAAAUCCCAAGGAAAUGCCGAGGAAGUGCCGAGGAAAUGCCGGGGAAGUAGCGAAGAAUCGCGGCCCCGUUAACGCCGCGACGUUCGGAAUAAAAACGAGGGACCAUGUAUCAACUGUUUGCCCGGUAACUCCAUUAUUCGUGAUACUCGAAUCGAAGCGUUCUUCUGUUUGUUCAGGGUGAUGGAUGCACGGCGCCGAACGGAUCCCAGGGAUCUCGCGCCGUUUCGAGAGUCAUCGAGCGCCUGACGAGGCUCGUCGAGGAGCAGUCCCGGGCAAACAAGGCCGACAGCCUUUUGUUUCGAGUGCGACGUCGGUCUUCCGGUGGAAUCCCUUCAGCCCGGCUUCGAGCGGCGAGGGAACCAGGUGUCUCGUUGUUUCCACGUAAUUAGUCAUCCUCGGAGGUCGCGUAACGGGGAGGAAGCAAACAGCCGAGGAGUAUACGGACCGAUAAGUUGGACACUGCUGGGCAAGCCGAGCCGGGCUGGAAAGUAAAUUCAACGGUGGCCAACAACUUCGAUAAGACAACGCGUGUACAGGCAAACUGCAUUCCCGUGUAGACGUUUUAUAUUUUAUUCGCCGCGAACACGAGCUCUGUAUCUCUGUAUCGGCAACUUGUACUCGAUUUAUGGAUUCAUCGAUGC
Molecule: non-coding RNA, 2008 nt
Organism: Nomia melanderi (Alkali bee)
Lineage: Eukaryota; Metazoa; Arthropoda; Insecta; Hymenoptera; Halictidae
Source: RefSeq, a predicted model, not a curated record